AGGGUUUGAUCAUGGCUCAGAACGUACGCUGGCGGCACGCCUAACACAUGCAAGUCGAACGAAGUAGCAAUACUUAGUGGCAGACGGGUGAGUAACAUGUAGGUAUCUGCCCUUUGGCCUGGAAUAACACGAGGAAACUUGUGCUAAUACCGGAUAAGUCUUUACGGAGAAAGCUUUAUGCACCAUUGGAUGAGCCCGCACUUGAUUAGUUUGUUGGUGGGGUAAUGGCCUACCAAGACUGUGAUCAAUAGCUGAUUUGAGAGGAUGAUCAGCCACAUUGGGACUGAGACACGGCCCAAACUCCUACGGGAGGCAGCAGUGGGGAAUCUUGCACAAUGGAGGAAACUCUGAUGCAGCGAUGCCGCGUGAGUGAAGAAGGCCUUUGGGUUGUAAAGCUCUUUCGUCGGGGAAGAAAAUGACUGUACCCGAAUAAGAAGGUCCGGCUAACUUCGUGCCAGCAGCCGCGGUAAUACGAAGGGACCUAGCGUAGUUCGGAAUUACUGGGCUUAAAGAGUUCGUAGGUGGUUGAAAAAGUUGGUGGUGAAAUCCCAGAGCUUAACUCUGGAACUGCCAUCAAAACUUUUCAGCUAGAGUUUGAUAGAGGAAAGCAGAAUUUCUAGUGUAGAGGUGAAAUUCGUAGAUAUUAGAAAGAAUACCAAUUGCGAAGGCAGCUUUCUGGAUCAUUACUGACACUGAGGAACGAAAGCAUGGGUAGCGAAGAGGAUUAGAUACCCUCGUAGUCCAUGCCGUAAACGAUGUGUGUUAGACGUUGGAAAUUUAUUUUCAGUGUCGCAGCGAAAGCGAUAAACACACCGCCUGGGGAGUACGACCGCAAGGUUAAAACUCAAAUGAAUUGACGGGGACCCGCACAAGUAGUGGAGCAUGUGGUUUAAUUCGAAGAUACGCGCAGAACCUUACCAACACUUGACAUGUUCGUCGCGACUUUAAGAGAUUAAAGUUUUCGGUUCGGCCGGACGAAACACAGGUGCUGCAUGGCUGUCGUCAGCUCGUGUCGUGAGAUGUUGGGUUAAGUCCCGCAACGAGCGCAACCCUCACUUUUAGUUGCCAUCAUUAAGUUGGGCACUCUGAAAGAACUGCCAGUGAUAAGCUGGAGGAAGGUGGGGAUGACGUCAAGUCCUCAUGGCCCUUACGUGUUGGGCUACACACGUGCUACAAUGGUAUCUACAACAGGAAGCAAGACUGCGAGGUCAAGCAAAUCCUUAAAAGAUACCUCAGUUCGGAUUGCACUCUGCAACUCGAGUGCAUGAAGCUGGAAUUACUAGUAAUCGUGGAUCAGCGUGCCACGGUGAAUGCGUUCCCGGGUCUUGUACACACCGCCCGUCACACCAUGGGAGUUGGUUCUACCUUAAGGC
RNAcentral lists this ribosomal RNA (1373 nucleotides) under uncultured bacterium. RNAcentral describes it as "bacterial SSU rRNA". It matches the Rfam family "Bacterial small subunit ribosomal RNA". The record is from RNAcentral.